UGCCUAAGCUUAAUUUCAACAUCAGAAAAUGGAGGCUUUGUGCAGUGUGUAUUGCUAUUUGCUGUUUUGAAGGAACACAGAGAUACAUCCAAUGUUGUUCUCUGUUCCCCCAAGGAUCUCCAUCGUAUUCUGGUCCUCUGCUUGCCCAUUUAUACUUCAAAGUCUUGAUGACUGGAGAGAUAUUAUGUUAUAGAUAUCCAAAAGAAAAGGUGCAGAACACGGCACCUGUGUUAAAUUGCCAUCUCACACUGGUCUAAUAGCUCUGGCUUCAAUCUCUGCGAACAUAAACCUCGAGAGGAGUCCAUGGGGAAGCUGGCUGUGUUCAGAUGAUGGCUGCUGCUUUGUUUUCUUUGUGAAUCAAAACGUUAACAUGAGUGCCUGAGGACUGAGACGAAAGUCUGUAUUUAUUUUAUCUUUUCUUGUCAAUACUGCCUACUUCAUAAUAUGAAAUGUUUACUUGACAAUCAACUGAUACACGGAUGAUCCUUGCGCUGAUUUCAGCAAUCUUGCUAUAUCUUGCUUUGUUACAAAAAAUAAAAUAA
Rhineura floridana is the source of this 542-nucleotide long non-coding RNA. RefSeq lists it as uncharacterized. The record is from RefSeq and is a predicted model, not a curated record. The transcript is spliced from 3 exons. Lineage: Eukaryota; Metazoa; Chordata; Lepidosauria; Squamata; Rhineuridae.